UGACCCAGGUCAUGUACCAUGGAGACACAACCUGAGAGUUUUUAAAAAAUCACCUUAACAGGGAUCCCUGGGUGGCGCAGCGGUUUGGCGCCUGCCUUUGGCCCAGAGUGCGAUCCUGGAGACCCGGGAUCGAAUCCCACGUCGGGCUCCUGGUGCAUGGAGCCUGCUUCUCCCUCUGCCCCUCUCUCUCUCUCUCUCUCUCUCUGUGACUAUCAUAAAAAAAUUAAAAAAAAAAUCACCUUAACAGAAUAGGUGACUAUUCAGGGUUUAUACCACAUCUGUGCACCUAGAUCUUCACACUGAUGCUAGACUCCCCUAGGCUAUCAUUGGAUGUUUGAAAAUUAAAUCCAGUUAGUCUGAAACUCAUUCUGAUUCCUCAGGUUUCACUGACCUGUUUUUCUGCUGUACUAUGAAAACCAUACAGUCUGGACAGUCCUAGGAAAAAACGAAGAAAGCCACUGGUUUAUAUUUGAAGAAGGAAAGCAGAGGCCUCAGUUCAUUAAUUUAUUUCUUCACUUAUUCACUCACUGACUCAUUCAUUCAUUCAUCCACCUGACACUCACUGAGCUACUUCUCUGUCUAGACACCAUGUUAGAUACUAGAGACUGACAGAUAAGGCCUUUUUGACAUGCCCGUCCCCACUGAUUGUUGCCAGAUUACAGUAUGAGCAAAGAUUCGGAGGAGGCAGGAAAUGGUCAUGGCAUGAGGAGAUCACAGUCAGGAGAUAUGUCUUAGGAAGGGUGAGUGUUAGGAAGUAUUGAAGGAUGUGCAUCAAAGCCAAUGAUAGAAUGGGAGUCAACAUCUGCUUUGGUUUCCACAGCACGCUGUCCUGUAAUUAUCAGUGGUGGAUGUUUUGCAAGGACCUCCCAGUUCUUUGGGCUGCAUCUGAGCCGAUCACCGGUGGAUGACCCUACACCAUGUGGUCCAGUGAAGGAAUGAGAUACAGAGCUCCUUGUCCUGGAGAAGGGUAAGCGGCACUGUGAUAGAUGAAAUCCAAGUAUGGAAUGGUAGAUUGGACUUAGCCCUUCCAAAUCUGUGAUUCAGUAUCAUUACCCUGAAAGCCCCAGGGCUAACAAUAAUAAUCCUUGGACACAGAAGCCACGCUGGGAAGGCAGAAGCAUGGAAUACAGACUCUGAGCCAGAGGACACCCAUUAACUCACAGAAUCCCAGAGCAUCGUAACCAAAGGAGACACUGGCCCAGCUCUCUGCACCAACCAUGAAAGUCUUCCUCUCCCCUCUACAGCCUACUAAUGAGGACAGCCCCAGAAAUUUGGAAAAGGAUAAACACCAUGCCUGUUCUGCUCUGAGAACCUUUGAAAAGUUAUAUCUUGGUGGGUUCUGGAGUGUGGCCCAGGCCUGGAGUAGGUCCUAGGAAGCACUCUUCCAGAUUCCUGCUGGACUGGACAUUGUAGGAAUGAAGACAACUGACAAAAUGAAGGCGGGGAACUUAACAGGACUCUGGCUAAAAUGCAUAGAGAGAAAUAAUUUACUUCAAAAAUUAACCACUGAAAAGCAAGUAAAUAUUAUCAACAAGUGAGCAACAGGCGAAGUGGACCCCGUUACUGAUUUCUGGAGCAGAGGUAAAGUGGGUGGGGUGGGGAAGGACUGCACUUUGGAGCUGAGUAGCUUUUUUUUUUUUAAAGCAUUUUAUUUAUUUAUUUAUUCAUGAGAGACAGAGAGAAAGAGAGAGAGAGAGGCACAGGCAGAGGGAGAAGCAGCAGGCUCCAUGCAGGGAACCCGAUGCAGGACUCGAUCCCGGGACUCCAGGACCAUGGCCUGGGCUGAAGGCAGGCACCAAACCACUGAGCCACCGAGGGAUCCCCAGCUUUUUUCUUUUCUUUUUUUUUUUAAGAUUUUAAAAAUUUAUUCAUGAAAGACACAGAGACAUAGGCAGAGAGAGAGGCAGGCUCCCUCUGAGAGCCCAAUGCGGGACUCAAUCCUGGGACCCCAGGAUCAUGCUCUGAGCCAAAGGCAGACACUCAACCACUGAGCCACCCAGGUGUCCUGUGGAGCUGAGUAGCUUUGAGUGGAAAUUCUGGGUCAUCACUGUCUCUAGGUGACUUGACAGGGUAGUCACCUGUGUCUUUCUUGCUUCCUUAUCUAUAACUGGUAAAUAUUCGUGUCUCCCUUUCAGAGCAAUGAGGUGACAAAUGUACAUGUACAUACAUGGUAUAUAGUAGUAGGUGUUCAGUAAAUUCCAAAAUCUUUCCCUUCUCCUCAAGGGUAACAGAAUGUCUAAUUCCUAAAAAAGCAAAAUGUUGUAUGACAUCAAGAACAACUAAAAACAUUAAGCAAAAAAUUUAGGAAAUUGUUUACAGCUUUCCAUAGAUCAAGUAUUGGAGUGAGGACCAAGAGCUACUGUUUAUCAUCCACCAUG
Molecule: long non-coding RNA, 2378 nt
Filed under: Canis lupus familiaris (dog)
Lineage: Eukaryota; Metazoa; Chordata; Mammalia; Carnivora; Canidae
Description: lncRNA (ENSCAFG00040018950.1)
Source: RNAcentral